UACGUAGGCAGCAAGCGUUGUUCGGAAUUACUGGGCGUAAAGAGUGUGUAGGUGGUGUCGUAAGUUUGGUGUGAAAUCUCCCGGCUUAACUGGGAGGGUGCGCCGAAGACUGCGAUGCUGGAGUAUGGGAGAGGAAAGCGGAAUUCCUGGUGUAGCGGUGAAAUGCGUAGAUAUCAGGAGGAACACCUGCGGUGUAGACGGCUUUCUGGACCAUUACUGACACUGAGACACGAAAGCGUGGGUAGCACACAGG
RNAcentral lists this ribosomal RNA (253 nucleotides) under uncultured bacterium. Its description in RNAcentral is "partial 16S ribosomal RNA". It matches the Rfam family "Bacterial small subunit ribosomal RNA", at positions 524 to 776 of the family's 1533-position model. The record is from RNAcentral.